GAAUAAUCCCUACCUUGGCUUCAUCUAUACUUCAUUCCAAGAAAGAGCGACCUUCAUCUCUCAUGGAAACACAGCCCGCCAAGCCAAAGAGCAUGGGGAUAUGAAAUUAGCCCAAAUAUGUGGGACAAUAGCUGCAGACGAGAAGCGUCACGAAACUGCUUACACCAAGAUAGUUGAAAAGCUCUUUGAGAUUGAUCCUGAUGGUACUGUCAUGGCUUUUGCAGACAUGAUGAGAAAGAAAAUCUCAAUGCCUGCUCACUUGAUGUAUGAUGGGCGCAACGACAACCUCUUUGACAACUUCUCUUCCGUGGCUCAGAGGCUCGGUGUUUACACCGCCAAAGACUAUGCCGACAUUCU
This 357-nucleotide long non-coding RNA is filed under the name Arabidopsis lyrata. Its description in RNAcentral is "long non-coding RNA (ALYR_LNC002184)". Lineage: Eukaryota; Viridiplantae; Streptophyta; Magnoliopsida; Brassicales; Brassicaceae. The record is from RNAcentral.